This 582-nucleotide ribosomal RNA is filed under the name Alternaria alternata. RNAcentral's name for it is "eukaryotic LSU rRNA". The stretch from base 207 to 360 matches the Rfam family "5.8S ribosomal RNA". Lineage: Eukaryota; Fungi; Ascomycota; Dothideomycetes; Pleosporales; Pleosporaceae. The record is from RNAcentral.
AGGUCGGGAUUUUCGAUAGGUGACCUGCGGAGGGAUCAUUACACAAAUAUGAAGGCGGGCUGGAACCUCUCGGGGUUACAGCCUUGCUGAAUUAUUCACCCUUGUCUUUUGCGUACUUCUUGUUUCCUUGGUGGGUUCGCCCACCACUAGGACAAACAUAAACCUUUUGUAAUUGCAAUCAGCGUCAGUAACAAAUUAAUAAUUACAACUUUCAACAACGGAUCUCUUGGUUCUGGCAUCGAUGAAGAACGCAGCGAAAUGCGAUAAGUAGUGUGAAUUGCAGAAUUCAGUGAAUCAUCGAAUCUUUGAACGCACAUUGCGCCCUUUGGUAUUCCAAAGGGCAUGCCUGUUCGAGCGUCAUUUGUACCCUCAAGCUUUGCUUGGUGUUGGGCGUCUUGUCUCUAGCUUUGCUGGAGACUCGCCUUAAAGUAAUUGGCAGCCGGCCUACUGGUUUCGGAGCGCAGCACAAGUCGCACUCUCUAUCAGCAAAGGUCUAGCAUCCAUUAAGCCUUUUUUUUCAACUUUUGACCUCGGAUCAGGUAGGGAUACCCGCUGAACUUAAGCAUAUCAAUAAGCGGAGGA